This 1403-nucleotide long non-coding RNA is filed under the name Homo sapiens (human). Its description in RNAcentral is "HSALNT0360605". Lineage: Eukaryota; Metazoa; Chordata; Mammalia; Primates; Hominidae. The record is from RNAcentral.
UGGAGGAACUGAAAAUUUACUUUUAUUUCAUUCAUUUAAUUUAAAUUUAACUAGUCACAUGUGACAAGUGGUUACCACGCUGGCCAGCACUGUUCUGAAGCCUCACACUUUUGCUUUCCCGCAAACAAUUAAGCCAACAAGUAGCUACCAUUUACCAAGCACCCACCACAUGCUGGUAUCUGUGGACGCUCUUUCAAGAGGACACUUCAAGGCAAAUCCUCAGUAACCUACCAUACUGACAAGAAACUGAGGCUCAAAGACAGGCAUGAACAAGCAUGCUCAAAGUCUACAGCGAGAAAGUCUCCAAGACCCAAGCUCUUUCAAUCCUAUUAAACUGCCUUCACAAACACACCCCCCGGGAGAUCCAGGCUUGCUAACAUCACAAGAAAGGCUAAUAUCCUUUGCCAUCUUCUUGUGUUAAAAGACAUUCCCUGAUGACAUUCAGGGGUAAACCCAGACACACUGUCUACCUUUCAAACAAUUCCUUUUGCCCUUGGUCAUGACAGAACAAGAAAGUCCAAGAAUAACCCCAGAUGGCCCGGGUCACUUUCCCUGUGUCUGCUACUGCUCCACCGCCACACUGGACUUGAGAGGAAGAUGCCUUGUUUAUUUUCUUCGCACAAGACCUUUCCCCAGAAGGGUCUCUCUGUAGCCCAGCUCUGCGUUCAGGCGGAGCACAGAGGACUUUUAGGAUGGUGAAGCUACCCAGUGAGAGACUACAAUGAGAUAAUUGGUCUUUCACAUUCCUCGUGCUGUCACCAAAAAUAACAGAGCAACAGCAGGGUGGAGGAAGAGCACCAGCACGGUGGAGGAAGAGCACCAACAUGGCAGAUAAAGAGCACCAACAUGGCGGAGGAAGAGCACCAACAUGGCGGAGAAAGAGCACCAACAUGGCAGAGGAAAAGCACCAACAUGGCGGAGGAAGAACACCAACAUGGCGGAGGAAGAACACCAACAUGGCGGAGAAACAGCACCAACAUGGCGGAUGAAGAGCACCAACAUGAAGCUAACCGCGUUCUCUUCACAGUUUGCCUUUCUUCCUCUUCUUCGUUGCUUUGACCGUCCUGCACAUAUCCAUUCUUAUGUCCAUCACCAAGACCUGAAAACCUCCACUGACUGGCUUCCCUACAGACUGAGAAUAUGGGUCAGGAUCACUCCCAGGGAAAGAUGGGAUCCACUUUAAAACCAAAUAUAUGAUUUAUAUCUGAAACUUGAGGACUAGAGCAUCCUGAGCCUAGCAGGUCAACUUGAAGCCACAAUGAAAAUAACUAAUAAAUAUAUUUUUUCUCUCCAGCAGAAAAGCUUAUAAAUCACAGCUGUGCAUUGUCCAAUCAACAUUCAACAGUGAUUCUUUUGAAAGUGACUGUGAAGAUCUGAAACUCUCAAGGAAACACAGAGAAAUA